This 271-nucleotide unclassified non-coding RNA is filed under the name Hevea brasiliensis (rubber tree). Lineage: Eukaryota; Viridiplantae; Streptophyta; Magnoliopsida; Malpighiales; Euphorbiaceae. The record is from RNAcentral.
UUUGAGAAACAACGCAACCCAGCAGUGUACUUUGACCCCUCAUACACCACAAUCCGGCCAUCAAACCCAAGUAACACCACCACCAAUCCAUUGGCGACAUCCAAGUGACCUUUUCGACGCCUUUCCGAUCACUUGCAACUUCCCCCAAAACAAGACCUGACCGGGUCCAAUCUUGACCCGAAUCUAAACCUGCAAAUUUUCUAGAUUUCUCUGGAAUUUGACCCUCCCUAGCCCUUCUCCAAUCACCGAUCUGCCCAUCUCUGCUGUUGGA